UGGGCUCAGUGGGUAGACAAAUCUCCAGU
This 29-nucleotide non-coding RNA is filed under the name Rattus norvegicus (Norway rat). The record is from RNAcentral. Lineage: Eukaryota; Metazoa; Chordata; Mammalia; Rodentia; Muridae.